CCUCGGGGUAGGUGUGUCUGCCAUGCAAACAGGUUGCUCAUCUGCCACCAGGCCCCUAAUGAGCCCAACCCUCCUCUGAGCAGCUUGCUCCAACCCCAGCCCUGUUGUCAAGUCAGGCCCCUGCUCAUAAAACUCUCUCCAGUGAGCUGUGACACACAUGAAGGUACACAUUUACAGGGAAACCUGUAAAUCAGGGAAAUCGGGACAGCCCCACACCCCUUCUCAAGGCCACUUAAAGUAGCAAAGGUGCGGCACUGGACUCAGCCUUGCGUUGGUCUCUGCACAGACUCAGGUAAUCAUCGCUGGCCUGGGAGGACGCGGCCCUCGAAGAGUUUUGGAGCAUCUCCACACUUAGAUGUUCAAUGCCUCACGUCUACUGGGAGGUAUGUGAAGUCUUUGACCCCACUUCUCAGAUUGGAAACCAAGGCUGUGCAUUGAUGUUACUGGCCAAAGCCACAGAAUGUGGGCAGAAGUCAGACUCACCAGGGAGUUUUCCUCCAGUGUGAACAGCUUUUCCUCCUCUAAAGUUCCUUCUUAAAGGAAGCAGGGAAGGUUCAGCCCUACAUGGUGCCUACUUCUUAGCCUGACAAUGGGGUAUCCAGCGGGUGAAGCAGUUGAGAAGUGGGCAGUCGACCUUGGCUUUGCCCUCCUCCCCUGAUGUAGACCCCGAGGUGCCCCACUGAAGAUGCCUUUGGGAUGGAAAACAAGCUCUUUGAAGAUUGUUUCCCAAUUCUUACAUUUGAGGCCAGGAGGAAGUUCCGAGGUAGCCUAGAGCCCUGUCACUGUUACAAGAUUCCUUCCCAGAGGACUGGUCUACACAUCUGGGAGAAAACAGGCUUCAGAAACCAUCCACUCUGUGAUGGCUGCUCUGGCUUAUUGACGUGCAAUUGAUCUGACAUGCCUUAUUGGCAUGCAGCGGGUCAUUCCACACACCCCGAGUGCGGUGGCAGGCUGCAUAGCAUGCUUGGCACACUGCCCGGCACUCAGGACCCAUCUUUCAGGAAUUGGCCGGACGUGGGCAAAUAAAUUGGAUAUCUAUUGAUCAGCACUCCUGCCAAUAACUUGGAACAUCAUUUCCCAGUCAAUGAUUUCACAAAUGAAGACACUGCAAAAUAGUGUUCGUUGCCUGUCCACUGUAGGAACUGAUUCUAAAUGUUCACUUCAGUGUGCCUGCCAGAGGAAUACAAACCCGAUACGGGUGUACUGGCCACGCGUUGGAGAGACGAAAAGGCUUACUGAACAUUCUUAGUAAAUGUGCCAUUUGUUCCUGGUGGGUGAAGCAUUUCAUGAUUCAUGCAAUAUUGUAAAUUUUUAUUUUCUUUACAUAGACUUGGCUUUUAUUGUAAUUCCUACUCUUGGGGGAAGGUAAUAUGGAUUCAUCCAAGUUAAUAAAGCCUCUUGGAGAUAACAUCUCCAGGACUCAAGGCCAUUCUCAGGGUACAAUUAAGACAUUUGUUUGCUUGGUAUUCACCACGAAGAUCCAAGGUUGCCAUCAUGCUAAGUCACUGCAUGCAUUUCAUGACAUGAACACGAGCUUUGCAUACCAUUUCAGGCAGGACAGCGAUCACAGUGGAGUCACCGUUAGAGAAGCUGAGAGGUUCUUUGGAACAAACUACAGGCCAUGAAUAAGAGUAACAAGUGUGCCACCUCAUUAGAAGGUAGGGCAGUUCAGAGGACACCGAGCCCUGGACCAAAGGUUCAGGCCACAGCAUGCAUCACUGCAUUCCACACACCCUGCUUUGCCCCGGAGCUUGGAGGUAAAUCUGGAGAGAAGAAAGAGCCGUGGUUUUCUUUUCUUUUUUUUUUUUCCUUUUUUUCUUUUU
Molecule: long non-coding RNA, 1823 nt
Filed under: Homo sapiens (human)
Lineage: Eukaryota; Metazoa; Chordata; Mammalia; Primates; Hominidae
Description: HSALNT0270124
Source: RNAcentral